UACGUAGGUGGCAAGCGUUAUCCGGAAUUAUUGGGCGUAAAGAGCGCGCAGGUGGUUGAUUAAGUCUGAUGUGAAAUCCCACGGCUUAACCGUGGAGGGUCAUUGGAAACUGGUCGACUUGAGUGCAGAAGAGGGAAGUGGAAUUCCAUGUGUAGCGGUGAAAUGCGUAGAGAUAUGGAGGAACACCAGUGGCGAAGGCGGCUUCCUGGUCUGUAACUGACACUUAGGCGCGAAAGCUAGGGUAGCAAACGGGAUUAGAUAUCCCGGUAGU
RNAcentral lists this ribosomal RNA (271 nucleotides) under uncultured prokaryote. Its description in RNAcentral is "partial 16S ribosomal RNA". It matches the Rfam family "Bacterial small subunit ribosomal RNA", at positions 524 to 794 of the family's 1533-position model. The record is from RNAcentral.